Molecule: long non-coding RNA, 1682 nt
Organism: Mauremys reevesii (Reeves's turtle)
Lineage: Eukaryota; Metazoa; Chordata; Testudines; Geoemydidae
Exons: 5
Source: RefSeq, a predicted model, not a curated record
GUGCCAUCUUAAAUCUUUGCUUCCUGUUUUCCUUUGCUGAUCAUUGGCCAUCACUCUGUCGCAGAUUCCAUCAUUAUCUUCCUUUCUUCUAUCAGGAGGAUCGGAAGCCCACAGGAAGGAAAGAACAGCAUGAGGGCAUCCUUCCUCUUGAACCAAAGUCAUUGAAUUCUCGGAGAUAUAAGCAAGGACAUCAGCCAUCUUUGGCAUCCAUCACUAGACACACACAAGAAAACAGAGCUCUUGCCAGCUGAGAAAGAUGUUUCCUUCAACCAAGGGCAGGCUGAAGUCUCUGGAAACUGAAUAUAGAGCUCCACUGGACAAUGAAGAUCCUGAAGGCUCUGCUGUGGAGGAGACUUGUGCCUCAGCUCACUCUUCUGUAAGAUGGAGAUGACACUUCCUGCACUCAUAGCAGAGUUUUGAAGGAGAAAAUGCUCCAAAGAACAGCCUCAUCAGUUGAAGCCUUCAAGACCUGGAAACUUGCCAUAAUGUCCAACCCGACUAGUGGUCCACGCUGUAAGACAGGUUUGAGAAAUUGGCUGUUACCUUGCAGAAGACACCAUUCUCCUGUUUGUCUUCAUGUGACAGGGCGAACCCAAGAUGAAAUCCUAGAAGGGUUUGAAUCAUCACAAGCCUUAAGGAAUCCAAGCAAUACAGUCUGAUACAAGAGGAUUUUUUUUAACUGCGCUAGUCCUAUGUGACAACCUGCAGCAUCCAGGACAGAAGCAUCUGCCUGCAAGGAAAACCUUGGAGGGUUUUAAAUUGCUGAAAAAUUCACUUUCCUCAAUCAGCUUAACAAAGAUGGUGACAGUGUCAUGAUGCUUUGGCUUGCAUAAAACUGUAGUUAGUUUUAGAUGUAGGGCUUUAUUAUGUUAUGAUUAAUGUUAGUUUGUAGUUAAAAAUCCAACAUGGCCACCGCUAUUAUUUUCUAUUAAGAAUUCCCAAGAUGGAGGACAUAGACUAAAUUGACCAAUAGCAAGUCAGAAGCAGGGGUUGAACAAAGUUCAGGAGAAUGACUGACUCAAAACAGGUGCAGGGGGGGCAGGAGGAGGAGUAGCUAUGAUGUAAGGGCAGAGCUGAUUGGCUGAAUGGGUUGCCACCCACACAGGAAGGGCUCAGCUUGAAACAUCAACCAAUCAGAGGAGGCCAGAAACUGAAUAUAAGGCUGGCCCAAAACAGGCUCAGGCUAUGGGUGUGAGUGGAGAAGAUUAGAGAAAAGGACAGAAAGGUGAAGAUCACAGAAUGGAAGGACAAGCUUGUAAGCAGCGAGAGCAUACUUGGCAAAGCAGGAAGGACCCUAGGUGAUUCAGAGGGAUUGUUGAAAGAGUGUAAGUCUGGUUUGUAGGCUGAUUCUUGAGACAUGACUGAGUAUGCCUAUAAAUAAAUCUGAUUCUGAGUGUGAGCCACCCCACCCCUUUUUUUGUGACCCUCUGAUCACGUCUUAUGAAAGGGUAAUUUUAAUGUUAUAGUGUAAUGCUAUUUUAUACACAUACAUAGUCUAUGGCACUAGAGGCCCUAUGCAUGUGUAUGAAGAAGGUCAACAUUGUAUUUAUCUCAUAGUCUAUGUAGUCUUCUUGGUAAACUGAAUGUAUAAUCUCUACAUGUAAUAUUACUGCCUAUUAUAUGCUAUACUGUUUUCUGUCUUGCUUUACUGAAUAUACUAUAAUCACCUAAUUUAUUUCAAU